UACAGAGGUCUCAAGCGUUGUUCGGAUUCAUUGGGCGUAAAGGGUGCGCAGGCGGCGUCGCAAGUCAGGCGUGAAAUCCCCGGGCUUAACCUGGGAAUGGCGCUUGAAACUACGAUGCUGGAGUAUGGCAGAGGGAGGUGGAAUUCCACGUGUAGCGGUGAAAUGCGUAGAGAUGUGGAGGAACACCGAUGGCGAAGGCAGCCUCCUGGGCCAAUACUGACGCUCAUGCACGAAAGCGUGGGGAGCAAACAGG
RNAcentral lists this ribosomal RNA (253 nucleotides) under uncultured bacterium. RNAcentral's name for it is "partial 16S ribosomal RNA". It matches the Rfam family "Bacterial small subunit ribosomal RNA", at positions 524 to 776 of the family's 1533-position model. The record is from RNAcentral.